UUCCACCAUGUAGAGAGAGAAAGUUGGGUUUGUCUGCUGCACAAAGAGAGGGAGUUCCACUGCAUAGAGAGAGGGAGUUCCACUGCGUAGAAAGAGAAAGUUGGGUUUUCUACUGCAUAGAGAGAGAGGGAGGACCACUGCAUAGAGAGAGGGAGUUCCACUGCGUAGAAAGAGAAAGUUGGGUUUUCUACUGCAUAGAGAGAGAGGGAGGACCACUGCAUAGAGAGAGAGGGAGUUCCACUGCGUAGAAAGAGAAAGUUGGGUUUUUCUGCUGCACAGAGAGAGAAAGUUGGGUUUUUCUGCUGCACGGAGAGAGGGAGGACCACUGCGUAGAGAGAGAGGGAGUUCCACUGCGUGGCAAGAGAGUAGCAAUGAGAAAAAA
This 382-nucleotide long non-coding RNA is filed under the name Amborella trichopoda. RNAcentral's name for it is "long non-coding RNA (ATRI_LNC002606)". Lineage: Eukaryota; Viridiplantae; Streptophyta; Magnoliopsida; Amborellales; Amborellaceae. The record is from RNAcentral.